ACCCAAGAAAGCUGUUGCGACAUGUGCCAGUGAAUUUGCCUCACAAUGCAAGUCAGCCCAGACAGGAAGGCUGCAGCCGGGGCCCCGCCAACCGGAGCAGGCUGCAGCACGCUCCGCGGCCAGGGAGAGCACAUGGGACCACACUGCACAAUGCGGCUCCAUCUGCGGAUGCGUCCCGAUCCCCCCACCCCACCUUUCCAGCCCAGCCCACCCCUCCUCAGGCACUCUUCCAUUGGAUCCUCCUCGCAAGCAGCUGGAUCAAUUUACUCUAGCCUACGGUGCACACUCUACAAGCACGGACUGAAUUAUUACUCAUGGAAAUCCCCUCUGUUUUCAGUCUUUGAACAAGGGAAUCAGGUCAUCAAAAGACAGCAGCGCCCCGAGAUGAAGCAAAAACUAUCCCUGACAAGUAAUUCAAGGCUGAGUGUCCAUGAGUCUUCUGGAAAAGACAAUAUUUGUGUUUCCUCUAUGAAACGGCUUUAGUCUGCCAUGUUUAGAGAGGGCCAUUGAUGGACACUCUUGGGCUAGGUUCAGCCUUCACGCUGGUGGAGGGAUCCUGGGUUUCUGUUUUUCUCUUUGUGUCCCCAACGAGACCACCUAAACCACUCAGUAGCUGGAAUAAUUCGACCCUGUCAUCCGUUGCCAAGGCAGCAAAAAUUUACCCUUAACCUCAAGUUGGGUUUUAAAGAAGUGACUGCAAACAUGUUUGCAAGGCGGAGGUUGGGUAUUAAAUAAUCUCGGGCAUCCACAGGGUCCUGAUUUAUACUGACUGAUAUUACUGACUCAGUUCCUCUGCCUCUCCUUUUUUUUCCCCUGAUUUUCUGCAAGUGUAGUGCUUUGCAGUUAAUAAAUGUUUGUUGAAUUGAACAGAAUCGAACUGAAUUUGGACCUUAGAAAAAUUUCCACUCACUGGGCAUCAAUCCCUAAGCAAUAUGAAACAUUUGGCAAGCAUAAGAUCCUGAAUAUUCCCUGUAACCAAGUAGUCAUAAUAAAAGCAAAUCCCUAUUAAAAAAAAAAAAAAAAAGAAGAAGAAAAAGAAAAGGAGGAUCAAGAUGCAACUCAGAACUCUAAAGAAAGCUGGAAUAGAAACCAAUGAAAAAAUCUUAGUAUAUUCAUGGCAAUUCACUGAAAGCAACCAUUUAUGAAGGGUGUGCUAUACCUGCUUGGUGACACUGGGCAAGUCACUUCACUCUGCCUCAGUUUCCUCAUCAAUAAACUGAAGAAGGAAAUAGCAAACCAGUCUAAUAUCUUUGCCAACAAAACCCUAAACAGGGAAUGAAAUAAUACGGAGAAUAACAUCAGCAUAUGCAAAGCAUCAUUGCCACAAGUGCUAGGGUCACAAAGAAAAAAAAAAAAAGCAGCCCCUGACCCCAAGGAAUUGACUUGUUUGGCUUACUGAGGCACAGUACCAUUAAUAAUCAUCAUCUGGCAAAAAUUAGUGUAGCCCACUAAUAAAUUACUUUUCUGUCCCCUUAAAUAUGGAAUGCCAUUCAUAAAUAUAUG
This 1503-nucleotide long non-coding RNA is filed under the name Sarcophilus harrisii (Tasmanian devil). RNAcentral's name for it is "lncRNA (ENSSHAG00000031276.1)". Lineage: Eukaryota; Metazoa; Chordata; Mammalia; Dasyuromorphia; Dasyuridae. The record is from RNAcentral.